RNAcentral lists this ribosomal RNA (487 nucleotides) under Hydrococcus brazieri. RNAcentral describes it as "partial 16S large subunit ribosomal RNA". It matches the Rfam family "Bacterial large subunit ribosomal RNA", at positions 1836 to 2587 of the family's 2925-position model. Lineage: Eukaryota; Metazoa; Mollusca; Gastropoda; Littorinimorpha; Hydrococcidae. The record is from RNAcentral.
CUACCAUAUAUGGAGAGUCAGACCUGCCCAGUGAUCUAUUCAACGGCCGCGGUACUCUGACCGUGCAAAGGUAGCAUAAUCAUUUGCCUUAUAAUUGAAGGCUUGUAUGAAUGGUUUGACAGAAGCAAGACUGUCUCCCAAAGGUUAAAUUGAACUUAAACUCCGGGUGAAGAUGCCCGGAUUCACCUGAAAGACAAGAAGACCCUAUCGAGCUUUAAAUAGCUGAGCCUAGUCUUAGGGCUACAUUAUAGACCCUUUUAUGCUCUUAAUUUUAGUUGGGGCGACUAAGGAACAUACAGAGCUUCUUACCUAAUUUUAGCUCUACUACCUAUGAUCCAGACAUUCUGAUUAAAGGAAUGAGUUACCGUAGGGAUAACAGCAUAAUCUUCCUUAAGAGCCCGCAUCGAAAGGAAGGUUUGUGACCUCGAUGUUGGACUAGGGCACCCUGACAGAUGCAGACGUCUUCGAAGGUUGGUCUGUUCGACCA